Molecule: ribosomal RNA, 305 nt
Filed under: uncultured bacterium
Lineage: Bacteria
Description: bacterial SSU rRNA
Rfam family: Bacterial small subunit ribosomal RNA
Source: RNAcentral
AGCGCCCUACGGGAGGCAGCAGUGGGGAAUAUUGCACAAUGGGGGAAACCCUGAUGCAGCGACGCCGCGUGAGUGAUGAAGUAGUUCGGUAUGUAAAUCUCUAUCAGCAGGGAAGAUAAUGACGGUACCUGACUAAGAAGCUCCGGCUAAAUACGUGCCAGCAGCCGCGGUAAUACGUAUGGAGCAAGCGUUAUCCGGAUUUACUGGGGGUAAAGGGAGCGCAGACGGCAGGGCAAGUCUGAUGUGAAAGUCCGGGGCUCAACCCCGGGACUGCAUUGGAAACUGUCCGGCUAGAGUGCAGGAGG